CAGCAGGGAGGCUUUGCAGUUGAAGUAAUUUACAGAAAAUGGAAAACAACUUGAUUUGGCUGGCUGUGGUAACGGGACAGGCUAAAUUUUGCUGAUCUUUCUGGCAUUGGCUGUAAGAGCAGGCAGGGCAGUUUCCAUUGACAGAUGAGAACACCAGGGUUGGAGAGGGUUGCAGAUGCAUGGCUUUAAAUUCUGUUUAUGCCGAUAUUAUGUUUUUGAAGAAUUCUAGAUGGUCAUUGAAUCAAGGCUCUGAAGACUUGAUCAGCAAAUGAGUAGGAUUGCAACCAUUAGGAAAAGUUGAGGAGGUGCAAGUGAUAUUGCAAAAGGAAAACUCAAUUCACAGAUGCAGUGAGGUAUACAGCCAAGGAAACGCCUGGAGAUCAAGCAAUGGAUGUGCAAGAAAGAACCUUCAGUGGAAAGAGAAAAUUUACUAGUUAAACCUAUGAUAAGCUGUGUGCAAUGUGAAAGCCUAUAUGAUAAACUUGAUUACUUCGGUAAUAAGAGGGAAGUAGUAAAAUAUAUAUUUUUUUCUUAUUCUAAUGAUUUACUUUUACAAAAUGCUUUUGAAUUAUGAGUAGCAAUUUAAUAUAUAAUAUUUUUAAUAGGUCUUGAUUUUUAUUGUUUUCUUUCAUGAAACUAAGGCAGUAGGGAAGCUUUGUAGUUAAAGCAGUUUAAGCAAAAUAAAAAACAUGAGAUUUGUGUGG
This 704-nucleotide long non-coding RNA is filed under the name Penaeus japonicus. Its description in RNAcentral is "uncharacterized LOC122242294, transcript variant X2". The record is from RNAcentral. Lineage: Eukaryota; Metazoa; Arthropoda; Malacostraca; Decapoda; Penaeidae.